RNAcentral lists this ribosomal RNA (524 nucleotides) under uncultured bacterium. RNAcentral's name for it is "partial 16S ribosomal RNA". It matches the Rfam family "Bacterial small subunit ribosomal RNA", at positions 28 to 523 of the family's 1533-position model. The record is from RNAcentral.
GACGAACGCUGGCGGCGUGCCUAAUACAUGCAAGUCGAACGAAGCUUUUUUAACUGGUGCUUGCACCGACUUAAACAACUGAGUGGCGAACGGGUGAGUAACACGUGGGUAACCUGCCCCAAAGCGGGGGAUAACAUUUGGAAACAGAUGCUAAUACCGCAUAACCACAGAAACCACAUGGUUUCUGUGUCAAAGAUGGUUUCGGCUAUCACUUUGGGAUGGACCCGCGGCGUAUUAGCUAGUUGGUAAGGUAAUGGCUUACCAAGGCAAUGUUAGGUAGCCGAACUGGGAGGUUGAUCGGCCACAUUGGGACUGAGACACGGCCCAAACUCCUACGGGAGGCAGCAGUAGGGAAUCUUCCACAAUGGACGAAAGUCUGAUGGAGCAACGCCGCGUGAGUGAAGAAGGUUUUCGGAUCGUAAAACUCUGUUGUCAGAGAAGAACGUGUGCGAGAGUAACUGUUCGUGCAGUGACGGUAUCUGGCCAGAAAGCCACGGCUAACUACGUGCCAGCAGCCGCCGUAA